GCCCGAGUGGUGAAAUGGUAGACACACAGGACUUAAAAUCCUGAGGACGGUUUCGUCCGUGCCGGUUCGAGUCCGGCCUCGGGCACCA
This 88-nucleotide transfer RNA is filed under the name Campylobacterota bacterium. RNAcentral describes it as "tRNA-Leu". It matches the Rfam family "tRNA". From Rfam's summary of the family: Transfer RNA (tRNA) molecules are approximately 80 nucleotides in length. Their secondary structure includes four short double-helical elements and three loops (D, anti-codon, and T loops). Further hydrogen bonds mediate the characteristic L-shaped molecular structure. tRNAs have two regions of fundamental functional importance: the anti-codon, which is responsible for specific mRNA codon recognition, and the 3' end, to which the tRNAs corresponding amino acid is attached (by aminoacyl-tRNA synthetases). tRNAs cope with the degeneracy of the genetic code in two manners: having more than one tRNA (with a specific anti-codon) for a particular amino acid; and 'wobble' base-pairing, i.e. permitting non-standard base-pairing at the 3rd anti-codon position. The record is from RNAcentral. RNAcentral also lists the same sequence under 1 other name. Lineage: Bacteria; Pseudomonadati; Campylobacterota.